GUAUUAGCACAGAGAAGCAGAGCAAAAUAAUAAGGUCCAGACUCUUUUUUUGCCAUGUUUUAAUUUCUCUGAAGAUAUUAUUCAGGAUGGUAUGAGUCACCAUACCAUUUCCUAACUUUCCUUCUCUCAGAGGUGCUGAUUUAGAGAUUCAUUCAUGAAUUCUUUAAACCAUUGAAAUCUAUCAUCGACUAUCAACAUGUUGUCCACCUCACUACACACAGAAAAUAACCACAAAAACACAGGCAUGUCCCUUUCACUCUCAAACAUUGUUUUAUGUUCAUUCACAUUUACACUUCAGUACUUUGCUUCAGACUGAAUUAUCACUUUAUGCAUGUGUUAUUUGACAAAACAGAAUGAAGUUUCUGAUACAAAAAUUAAAUGACUCAUGAAUAAAAAUGUUGAAAAUUGUUAGGGUUGCCUAAACGUCUUCAUACAACUGUAUGUAAGAAAAUGCAGCAGUUCCUAAUAUACAGAUUUUGCCGAUUGCACAGAAAAGGCCAAAAAUAAACACAAUUGAAUUUUGCUAUUAAAGCUGUAAAAACCCGGUGUAUUUUUAUUGUAAGACAAUCUUAAUUUGUUCAAGGAAGCAACAUGUGAUUUCACUGAGAAAGUCAAUAGCUAUUGUAAUGUGGAUUAGAGAAUGGUACCCUAUAGUUAGGAACUGUACCUAAAGGUAAAACAUGUUAUUGGAAUAAUAAAAUCCUUAAUCCAAUUUACCAAGUAAACUUUAAUUACAAAUUAUUUAGUACAAAACAGAGCACUUAACAGUUAAUGAGAUCACUGAAAUAUUGGGAAAAAAUACAAUUUUUAAAACAUGUUACAACUUGUCGCUUUUACUUCGAUUUAUUUAAACGUGUGCUCCAAUGAGGAAAGCAAGAUAACGUUAAUAACCUGACAACCAAUCCUACCGUGGGUAGCGUUUACUGAUAACCAAUCAGAGCUUAGAAUCAGUUUAAAAAGAACGCUGGAUAAACCAAUCGGAAUGCUUCGCGCCUUAGCCACUCAGUAGUGUUCUUUGCUCUGGGUGGGUGGGACAAACAGUUUGCGUCAAACUAAAGCAGUUAUUGAUUCUCUACGCAGGAGUUGGAUUAUUCAUACUUUUGUCUUUUUCUGAAACUUUACACCUUAAAGACAUAUUAGCCAUUAACAAGCGGAAUGCUGUUUACGGGAGCUCCUCAGCGUAUCCUCCGCGGUCGCGGUGUGCACCACGCCUCCUGCCCUCAGCUCUCACACCCACAGAUGGCUACCAGAAUCUCCCGACCUGCGGUACAUCAUGGACCGCUACUUGGUUAAACCCAGAUAACCAUCCAACAAAGUGAACCAAUCCAAGUUCCUCCGUCAUGUCCACCCAAAGUUCCACAAACACAGGGACAGAGAUGAACCCAUUGCAACAAUUAUGAACUGGGAACUCAACUAAAGCUAACUAUGCUAAGUUAACCUACCGACACACAGACUGGGCUAAGAGCUAAUGCUAACCACUCCAUAUAAGGGAACAGGCCAAAUAAAAAGAACACUUCUUUCUGUCA
RNAcentral lists this long non-coding RNA (1526 nucleotides) under Gouania willdenowi (blunt-snouted clingfish). RNAcentral's name for it is "lncRNA (ENSGWIG00000012721.1)". Lineage: Eukaryota; Metazoa; Chordata; Actinopteri; Blenniiformes; Gobiesocidae. The record is from RNAcentral.